Molecule: non-coding RNA, 47 nt
Organism: Stegodyphus mimosarum
Lineage: Eukaryota; Metazoa; Arthropoda; Arachnida; Araneae; Eresidae
Source: Rfam
CAACUGGCUUUUAUUAAAGCCAUUUUGUAUUGAAAUUAAUAUAAUUU